Molecule: long non-coding RNA, 252 nt
Organism: Bombyx mori (domestic silkworm)
Lineage: Eukaryota; Metazoa; Arthropoda; Insecta; Lepidoptera; Bombycidae
Exons: 2
Source: RefSeq, a predicted model, not a curated record
GUAAGUUAUCUUCAGUUUUCUGAAAUAUUUAUUUGUUUGUAAACAUACUCGCUUUUCUAGUAAUCACACAGGAAUCGAUAAAGGGAAGAUCUUCUACCGUGCGGCUGCAAUUGUUCAGUAGACCGACGGUCCGAUUCUCAGUGUCCGGAAUUUGUGUUUAUGCAAAUUUAUAAUGAAAAUGUGUUAGUGCAAUUCAGGCAUCUGUGAAAUAUCUUCUUAUAUCUAUGAAAUAUAAUAUCUUUAUAAAAGUUA